GCGCGCGUAGUUCAAGCAGUCAGAACGCCCCAAUAUCCGGAUGGCGAGGGGAAACGCGGGUGCAGGUCCCGCCGCGCGCA
Molecule: transfer RNA, 80 nt
Filed under: Saccharopolyspora erythraea
Lineage: Bacteria; Bacillati; Actinomycetota; Actinomycetes; Pseudonocardiales; Pseudonocardiaceae
Description: tRNA-OTHER
Source: RNAcentral